ACUCUGAAGGUCCAGAGCAGGUGCUUGUCCUCCACUACAAAUGAAACACAUUUGGAAGAAGAUAGCAAGUUAGGCAAAAACAAGGUCUCGAGUCAACUUGCAGAAGGAACUGGGAAAACACUAAUUUUGCCGGAGUCAGAGUUGUUAGAGACACCUUCAAAUGAUGCUUAUGCUGGCUGUAGUUCACCGAAGGUCCAGAAAAGGUGCCUGUCCUCCACCACAAAUGAAAUACAUUUGGAAGAAGAUACAAAGUUUGAUUCUUCUAAGGUUUCAAGCCAAAUUUCAGAAGGAACUGGAAAGACGCUAAUUUUGCCCAAGUCAGAGUUUAUAGACACACCUUUACAUGAUGUGUAUGCUGGCAGUAGCUCACCAAAGGUCCAGAGCAGGUGCCUGUCCACCACAAAUGGAACACAAUUUGAAGAAGAUACAAAGUUAGAUACUUUCGAUGUUUCGAGGAAACUUCAUCCAAAGGUAGAAGAAGGGACCAGAAAAGUUAGUGGAGAUCAAUUGGAUGAAGUUAUUAAAUGUUCCAACCAAGUUGAACCAGAUGAGAAGUCAAAUGAGUCAGUUGAAUUACCAGAUAUUCAGGAGCCUGCUUUGCAAUUCGUAUCUGGGGAUGACAGUGAUGAGUCAGAAAUUGUGGAACAUGAUGUAAAAGUAUGUGAUAUUUGUGGGGAUGCUGGUCGGGAGGAUUUGCUUGCUAUAUGUAGUAAAUGCAGUGAUGGUGCAGAACACACCUAUUGCAUGCGAGAAAUGCUUCAGAAAGUUCCUGAAGUGGAUUGGUUGUGCGAAGAAUGCAAGUUAGCUGAGGAAACAGAAAACCAGAGGCAAGGUUCAGAUGUUGAAGGUAAAAGAACAAACAAAGCAAACGCACCAAGCUCUGGCAAGAGACAUGUAGAAACAAUGGAGGUGGCUUCAACUUCAAAAAGGCAGGCUGUUGAAACAAGUUUUGGAUCUCCUAAGUCAUCCAGCCCCAGCAGAACAGCUGCACUGUUGCGGGAUAGUUCUUUCAAGGGCUUAGAUAAAGGGAAAGUAAAGCUAGAUCAUCCAAUAUCUGUUGUCAAUCACUCCAGUAUUGAUAGUCCAGAAACUACACGUUCUUCUAUUGGUCCACGAAUUCAGACACCCAAGGGUACUUUAUUGAAGUCCAAUUCAUUCAAUACUUUAAAUUCCAAACCAAAGAUAAAACUUGUUGAUGAGGUUCCUCAAAAGCAGAAGGGCAGUAGAGAAAGUCGUUCUCUUGAUAUGAAGGAGGGGACUGCCAGGAUGAUAAGCAAAUCUUUGUCAUUUAGAACAGUGAACUCAGGCCGUUCCAAUGCUACUGAGUCAAAAGUUAAAAUGCUUUCUUCAAAAAUUUCUCAAGCUCAGGAUAUAAAAGCAUUAAAACAAGUGAAAGAACGAAAUGCAUUUGAAAGUAAAAGUUCAUCUAAAUUAGAUCGUCCCAUGGGUAGUUUAGUGACAACUAGUUCUAAUGUCUCUAUGCCUAUGAUCAGUCAAAAGCUCACACCUCGUGGUGAUAGUGUGAUGAUAUCAUCCACAGGCAACAACAAAGAGUUGAAUGCGUCACAAUCUGAUGGAAAAUUGAAUACUUUAUCAAGGUCAACCAGUAGUGUAGCUCGUAAAGGUGCAGAAAUUCCAGUUACUUCUGUUCGAUCUUUACCCGUGAAUGGGAUGAGCAGUGCUUUUGUUGAACAAAAGUUAAACCAAGUUAGCCCAAAGGAUGAACCCUCUUCGAGUUUUUCUUGGACUGCAGAGCGACCGUAUUAUAAUGUAGAUGAAAAUGUGCAAGAUGGUUUAUCUCGGUCACGGGAAUCAUCAAAUCAGAGUGAGAAAUCUAGAGAAAUUUCUGUUUCUCGCAUGAGGCCUGCUAUUACUGCUGGGCAAAAAAAUAUCACCUGUCAAAAGUGCAAGGAAAUUGGGCAUGCUACAGAAUUUUGCACAUUUGUUACUCCUUGGGCUUCUUCUGGUAUGGAUACACCUUCUGCUAGAACUGUUAGGGAGGACGUGAGCCAAGGUAGUAAGUUAAAAGUUGCAAUUGAGGCUGCUAUGCUUAGGAAGCCGGGAAUAUUCAGAAAGAAAAAAGAAAGUGAACAAUCUGAUGGGUUGUCCUCAUCAAAUGUGGAUAUAACUUCUGAGAUAGCUUCUCACGAUCAGUUUUCGGUUUCAAAUAAGGUGAGGAAUGUGAUUUCUGAUGAAGGAACGGAUGAAGGACAAGCAAAUCUUGGUAUUUCUUCCUUGGAGAAUUACAGACAGACAAAUAUUAAUAAUGAGAAGCAGCUGAAUGUGCAUUCCACUGAUGCUGUUUUUCCUUUCAAAGCCAGGGACUUGGAUUCCACAGUCCCUUCAAUUGGAAAACCUAGUUGUGCUUUGGCAGCAAUGUCCCUCUUUUCAAAGAUUUUAACCAUCCCGGAGCAUGAAUAUAUCUGGCAGGGGGCCUUUGAAGUGCACAGGUGUGGAAAAAUUCUGGACGUAGAAUAUAUCUGGCAGGGGGCCUUCGAAGUGCACAGGGGUGGAAAAAUUCUGGACGUGUAUGGUGGAAUUCAAGCACAUUUAUCAGUUUGUGCUUCACCUAAAGUUCUUGAAGUGGUAAACCAGUUUCCCCAGAAAAUUGCUCUAGAUGAAGUGCUUCGCCUGAGCACAUGGCCAAGACAGUUUCAUGACAAUGGUGCCAAAGAGAAUAAUAUUGCUCUAUAUUUUUUUGCUAAGGAUCUUGAAAGUUAUGAAAAAAGCUACAAGAAUUUGUUGGAUAACAUGAUUAAAAGAGAUUUGGCACUUAAAGGAUAUUUUGAUGGUGUUGAAUUCUUGAUAUUCCCGUCUACUCAGCUUCCAGAGAACUCCCAGCGUUGGAACACAUUGUUUUUUCUAUGGGGUGUAUUCAGGGGAAAUAGAUCCAGUUGUUCAGAUUCCUUUAAUAAGUUGGUUAUUCCCGGUUCUAAUGUGGUGCCUUGGGACAUGAAUUCUCCUGACAAGC
Molecule: unclassified non-coding RNA, 2971 nt
Filed under: Hevea brasiliensis (rubber tree)
Lineage: Eukaryota; Viridiplantae; Streptophyta; Magnoliopsida; Malpighiales; Euphorbiaceae
Source: RNAcentral